RNAcentral lists this ribosomal RNA (253 nucleotides) under uncultured bacterium. Its description in RNAcentral is "partial 16S ribosomal RNA". It matches the Rfam family "Bacterial small subunit ribosomal RNA", at positions 524 to 776 of the family's 1533-position model. The record is from RNAcentral.
UACGUAGGGACCUAGCGUUGUCCGGAAUCAUUGGGCGUAAAGCGCGCGUAGGCGGCCCAGUAAGUCCGUUGUAAAAGUCGAAGGCUCAACCUUCGAAAGCCGAUGGAUACUGCCGGGCUAGAGUACGGAAGAGGCGAGUAGAAUUCCUGGUGUAGCGGUGGAAUGCGCAGAUAUCAGGAGGAAUACCCAUAGCGAAGGCAGCUCGCUGGGACGUUACUGACGCUGAGGCGCGAAAGCGUGGGGAGCGAACAGG